GGAUGAACGCUGACAGAAUGCUUAACACAUGCAAGUCAACUUGAAUUUGGGUUUUUAACUUAGAUUUGGGUGGCGGACGGGUGAGCAACGCGUAAAGAACUUGCCUCACAGCUAGGGACAACAUUUAGAAAUGAAUGCUAAUACCUGAUAUUAUGAUUUUAAGGCAUCUUAGAAUUAUGAAAGCUAUAAGCACUGUGAGAGAGCUUUGCGUCCCAUUAGCUAGUUGGAGAGGUAACAGCUCACCAAGGCAAUGAUGGGUAGCCGGCCUGAGAGGGUGAACGGCCACAAGGGGACUGAGACACGGCCCUUACUCCUACGGGAGGCAGCAGUGGGGAAUAUUGGACAAUGGACCGAGAGUCUGAUCCAGCAAUUCUGUGUGCACGAUGAAGUUUUUCGGAAUGUAAAGUGCUUUCAGUUGGGAAGAAAAAAAUGACGGUACCAACAGAAGAAGUGACGGCUAAAUACGUGCCAGCAGCCGCGGUAAUACGUAUGUCACGAGCGUUAUCCGGAUUUAUUGGGCGUAAAGCGCGUCUAGGUGGUUAUGUAAGUCUGAUGUGAAAAUGCAGGGCUCAACUCUGUAUUGCGUUGGAAACUGUAUAACUAGAGUACUGGAGAGGUAAGCGGAACUACAAGUGUAGAGGUGAAAUUCGUAGAUAUUUGUAGGAAUGCCGAUGGGGAAGCCAGCUUACUGGACAGAUACUGACGCUAAAGCGCGAAAGCGUGGGUAGCAAACAGG
This 736-nucleotide ribosomal RNA is filed under the name uncultured Fusobacterium sp. RNAcentral's name for it is "bacterial SSU rRNA". It matches the Rfam family "Bacterial small subunit ribosomal RNA", at positions 27 to 776 of the family's 1533-position model. Lineage: Bacteria; Fusobacteriati; Fusobacteriota; Fusobacteriia; Fusobacteriales; Fusobacteriaceae. The record is from RNAcentral.